AACUUGACCUUCGUCAUAACUUAAACCUACACACAUAGCCCUCUUUCAUCUCUUUGCUUUCUCCCAAAUCUGAAACCCUAGUUCUCGACCUCGCCAUGGAUUCCGUCGAAUUGAAUCCUUCUUCCCAUCCCCUCGAUCAACCUCCUCGUCCUGCUUCCUCUGAAACCGUAGCUUCCCUCAAGGAUGAUAACUCUGCUUCCCUCGCCCCCGAUCAGAUUCCUGCUCCCGAAGCUACCAACGGCUCCUCUAACGGCGUUACCGGUGACGACAAGAACAAAUCCGAGGACACCACAACCCGGAGGAAGCGUCGGAGCAGGUGGGAUCCUCCUCCUUCCGAGUCGGUUACCAACACGAGCGCCGAAGGUGGCGGCGGUGGCGACUCCGGUACUAGGAAGCGUAAGUCGAGAUGGGCUGACGACGAGCCGAAGCCGACGAUUCAGCUGCCCGAUUACAUCAAGGAGAUCGUCGGAGGUAUCGAGUUCGAUCCCGAGAUUCAGGUUUUGAACAGCAGGUUGCUUGAUAUCAGUAGGCUGCUUCAGUCCGGUAUGGCUUUGGAUGAUAGACCCGAGGGGCAGAGGUCUCCCUCGCCGGAGCCCGUGUAUGAUAACAUGGGGAUUAGGAUCAACACUAGGGAGUACAGAGCGAGGGAGAGGUUGAAUAGAGAGAGGCAAGAGAUUAUAUCUCAGAUUAUUAAAAAGAAUCCUGCUUUUAAACCACCCGCGGAUUACAGGCCUCCCAAGCUCCAGAAGAAGCUGUUCAUUCCGAUGAAGGACUAUCCCGGUUAUAAUUUCAUUGGUCUUAUUAUUGGUCCCAGGGGGAAUACUCAGAAGAGGAUGGAGAGGGAGACUGGUGCUAAGAUUGUGAUUAGGGGUAAAGGGUCUAUGAAGGAAGGUAGGCUGCAGAAGAAGGAUAUGAAGUACGACCCUGCUGAAAAUGAGGAUUUGCAUGUUUUGGUUGAGGCUGAGACUCAGGAGGCACUUGAAGCUGCUGCUGGUAUGGUCGAGAAGCUUCUUCAGCCUGUUGAUGAGGUACUGAACGAACACAAGAGGCAACAGCUGAGGGAGCUUGCUACCUUGAAUGGUACUAUAAGGGAUGAAGAGUUCUGUAGGCUGUGUGGUGAGCCAGGACAUAGGCAGUUCGCGUGUCCAUCUCGUUUGAAUACCUUUAAAAGUGAUGUGCUUUGCAAGAUUUGUGGUGAUGGUGGACACCCUACUAUUGAUUGCCCUGUGAAGGAUACUAAUGGGAAGAAAAUGGAUGAUGAAUAUCAGAACUUUUUGGCUGAGUUAGGAGGAACUCUCCCUGAAUCUUCUCUCAAACAGAGUACUAAUACCUUGGCUCUUGGUCCGGGAAGUUCUGGAAGUAAUCCUCCAUGGGCUAGCAAUGGGGGCAGUGGGGCAAGUGCGCAUCCUGGCUUAGGGUCAAAUCCAGCCAAACCCUCCAAAGAAUAUGAUGAAAAAAAUCUCUACAUUGGGUUCUUACCUACGAUGCUUGAGGACGAUGGUUUGAUUAAUCUUUUUUCACCCUUUGGCGAAAUUGUGAUGGCAAAGGUAAUAAAGGACCAUAUUUCUGGUCUGAGCAGAGGCUAUGGUUUUGUGAAGUACGCAGAUGUCCAGAUGGCCAAUUCGGCGAUACAGGCAAUGAAUGGUUAUCGGUUAGAAGGUAAAACACUUGCUGUCAGGAUUGCUGGUAAACCGGCACCGCCUCCUGGGCCCCCGGCACCUCCCCCACCUACUCAAUCUUAUCCUCCUCCACCAUCACAACCAUAUGGCGCUGGUGGGCAACUGCCAAAUCCUUCAUAUUCACCGGCUCCAGUUCCUUGGGGUCCUCCUGUUCCUUCCUAUUCACAAUAUGCUCCUCCGCCUCCUCCUGGUUCUUACCAUCCCGUCCCUGGUCAACACAUGUCUCCUUAUGGAAUGCACUACCCACCACCACCACCACCUCCUCAUGUGACACAAGCUCCUCCACCUGGCACUACUACUAGUGAAAGCCAGCAAAGCUUCCCACCAGGAGUAGUACAAGCAGACAGUGGUACUCCUCCUCCAUCUGUGCCACCAAAUGUCUAUGGUGGUUCGCUUUCAGGUGUGCCUGGACAGCCUCCGUAUAUGAGUUAUCCAUCUUAUUACGCUGCUGUUCCACCUCCACCUCCACCUCCAGUGCCGACCUCGUCUGCUGAUCAUUCCCAAAGCAUGGGUAACAUGCCGUGGGCGAACAAUCCUCCUAUGCCGUCAUCUGAUCACUCGCAAGGUGUAGGUAAUGCACCUUGGGCACCUAAUCCUCCUCUGCCACCUUCUGUUGGAUAUUCGCAGAGCAUGGGGAACGCACCCUGGGCUCCCAAGCCUCCAGUUCAGCCACCUGCAGAGAAUCCAUCCGCUGUUGGAGAUUCUGAGUAUGAGAAGUUCAUGGCUGAGAUGAAGUAGCAUGUGGUGUUCUAAGGAUAAACUCCUUAGUGGAGAGGUAAGAUAUCCUCAUUUGAUAUUAUCUUGGCUAACGGGUUUUAAAUUUAGAAUUUGAAACGGGUCAUUUUGGCUUUAAGCAUAUGAUAAAAGUUUUCAUCCUGAAAAGUUUUACGUAUUAGAAAUAUUUUUUUCCCGAAUUAUCAUUUUUUAGACUUGCAAUUGCAGGAUGAACCAAGUUGAGCAUGUUGUGUGAUACUGCCUUUUUCGAAAGUUUUUCCCCUUUUAUGUUCCUUCUUAUGUAAUUUUCUGUUUAUAGUUUUGUAAGAUGUUAACUAAUUGAUGUAGCUCAUUUAAUCUGGUUACUGUUGUGUUUGUGAGCAGUCCCACAGCUAAAGGAGCAUCUGUUCUGGUGUGAUGUUUCUUGGAGCCUCUUGUACCGUGAUUUUCUUACAUCUUUCUUGUUGGAAGUUUGGGACUCACAUCUUAACCCCUUGCUAUGCUGUUGUGAAAUAUGCAGAGAUUCAGGCUUGGAAGCUCCCAGUUCAUACUGUUUCCUUCAUAAAUGCCAUAAGAUAUUUUAUUUAUGUUACUGAUAAUAAUUUAUUUUCUGUACUUUUUCAGUUUGGGAUUUGAAACUUUUGGUGGUAUUGGUGUCGACAUAUCAUAUCUAGUUCCUGAUACAUCUUUGGAUCA
This is an RNA transcript of Raphanus sativus (radish), 3089 nucleotides long. It is a transcript of the gene named splicing factor-like protein 1, with no coding region annotated. The transcript is spliced from 2 exons. Lineage: Eukaryota; Viridiplantae; Streptophyta; Magnoliopsida; Brassicales; Brassicaceae. The record is from RefSeq and is a predicted model, not a curated record.